Molecule: ribosomal RNA, 253 nt
Filed under: uncultured bacterium
Lineage: Bacteria
Description: partial 16S ribosomal RNA
Rfam family: Bacterial small subunit ribosomal RNA
Source: RNAcentral
GACAGAGGGUGCGAACGUUGUUCGGAAUCACUGGGCGUAAAGCGCACGUAGGCGGCUUUUUAAGUCAGGGGUGAAAUCCUGGAGCUCAACUCCAGAACUGCCUUUGAUACUGAGAGGCUUGAGUCCGGGAGAGGUGAGUGGAACUGCGAGUGUAGAGGUGAAAUUCGUAGAUAUUCGCAAGAACACCAGUGGCGAAGGCGGCUCACUGGCCCGGUACUGACGCUGAGGUGCGAAAGCGUGGGGAGCAAACAGG